UUAAAACCAAGUAACAUUGUAGUCAAGUCUGAUUGCACAUUGAAAAUCCUGGACUUUGGACUGGCCAGGACAGCAGGCACAAGCUUCAUGAUGACUCCAUAUGUGGUGACACGUUAUUACAGAGCCCCUGAGGUCAUCCUGGGGAUGGGCUACAAGGAGAACGGAGAGUAAAGAUAGAAGCAAAAAGUUGGGACUUCCUACCAACAACUGAGCAGUCAGAUAACCUCUCAAACUAUGACUAUCAGACACAAGGCUGAGGGCUGAUUCAAGUUAUUUAUCGGCAGAAGAAUUACACAAUUUUAAGCAUAUUGAAAUUAGUCUAACAUUUAUUGGAAGAAAUAUCAAAGCUAAGUAUAUGCUAAUUGAUACCUUGACUACUUCCAGGACUCUGCAGAAAUUUCAAAAAACAAUCAGAGGUUCUCAUGUCUUUCACCUAGAAUUAUUCAGAGUAAUUUAUAUUAAAUUACUUUGAGGCUGAAAAA
Molecule: long non-coding RNA, 482 nt
Filed under: Homo sapiens (human)
Lineage: Eukaryota; Metazoa; Chordata; Mammalia; Primates; Hominidae
Description: non-protein coding lnc-SLC10A6-6:2
Source: RNAcentral